This 779-nucleotide long non-coding RNA is filed under the name Ananas comosus (pineapple). RNAcentral describes it as "long non-coding RNA (ACOM_LNC044549)". The record is from RNAcentral. Lineage: Eukaryota; Viridiplantae; Streptophyta; Magnoliopsida; Poales; Bromeliaceae.
GGCUCGCUCGAAUUAAGCUCGAAAAGCUCGAAAUAUAUAUACAUAUAUAUAUAUAUAUAUAGUCUACUAUACUAUUAAUAGUACCAACCCUUGCUAUUAGGUUUUCGACUUUUGGAUGAAGGAAUGUGCGGUUAGAAUGACAAUGAUCCUCUAGGGUUGAGCGUGUGGUUAGUUGAAUAAUAUGAUCUAACGGCACAAAAUUCGAUAGUACCAAGCAUUUAGUAUUAUCGAUAAUAUAGUAGUCGGACUCUCUCUCUCUCUCUAUAUAUAUAUAUAUAGUCCGGCUACUAUACUAUCUAUACUAUCUAUAGUACUAAGCGCUUUGUACUAUUGAGUUUUUUGCCGUUAGAUCUGCUUAUAUAUAUCUAUAUAGAGUUCGGCUAUUAUACUAUCGAUAGUACCAAGCAUAUGGUGCUAUCGAGUUUUCUGCUGUUAGAUCUAUCUCUUUAGCCAUUUUCAUCCGUUAGAUCAUAAUAUUCAACUAGUCACCCACUCAACCCUAGAGGGCUACUAUCAUAUUAACCGCACAUUCUUUCAUUCAAGGGCCGAAAACCUAAUAGCAAGCGGUCUGUGCUAUUAAUAGUAUGGUAGCCUAAUUCUAUAUAUAUAUGCUCGUGCUACUAUACUCUUAUAAGUAUAAACCCCUUCAUACUUAUAAAUUUUCAGCCGUUAAAUAUGCGAUUAGAAUGAUAGUGGUCCCGUAAGAUUGAGUGGGUGGUUAGUUGAAUAGUAUGAUUUAACGAAUAAAAAUGGUCAAAAGAAUAGAUCUAACGGUCGAA